This 731-nucleotide ribosomal RNA is filed under the name uncultured Staphylococcus sp. Its description in RNAcentral is "bacterial SSU rRNA". It matches the Rfam family "Bacterial small subunit ribosomal RNA", at positions 61 to 774 of the family's 1533-position model. The record is from RNAcentral. Lineage: Bacteria; Bacillati; Bacillota; Bacilli; Caryophanales; Staphylococcaceae.
GUCGAGCGAACGGACGAGAAGCUUGCUUCUCUGAUGUUAGCGGCGGACGGGUGAGUAACACGUGGAUAACCUACCUAUAAGACUGGGAUAACUUCGGGAAACCGUAGCUAAUACCGGAUAAUAUUUUGAACCGCAUGGUUCAAAAGUGAAAGACGGUCUUGCUGUCACUUAUAGAUGGAUCCGCGCUGCAUUAGCUAGUUGGUAAAGUAACGGCUUACCAAGGCAACGAUGCAUAGCCGACCUGAGAGGGUGAUCGGCCACACUGGAACUGAGACACGGUCCAGACUCCUACGGGAGGCAGCAGUAGGGAAUCUUCCGCAAUGGGCGAAAGCCUGACGGAGCAACGCCGCGUGAGUGAUGAAGGUCUUCGGAUCGUAAAACUCUGUUAUUAGGGAAGAACAUAUGUGUAAGUAACUGUGCACAUCUUGACGGUACCUAAUCAGAAAGCCACGGCUAACUACGUGCCAGCAGCCGCGGUAAUACGUAGGUGGCAAGCGUUAUCCGGAAUUAUUGGGCGUAAAGCGCGCGUAGGCGGUUUUUUAAGUCUGAUGUGAAAGCCCACGGCUCGACCGUGGAGGGUCAUUGGAAACUGGAAAACUUGAGUGCAGAAGAGGAAAGUGGAAUUCCAUGUGUAGCGGUGAAAUGCGCAGAGAUAUGGAGGAACACCAGUGGCGAAGGCGACUUUCUGGUCUGUAACUGACGCUGAUGUGCGAAAGCGUGGGGAUCAAACA